RNAcentral lists this long non-coding RNA (292 nucleotides) under Zostera marina. RNAcentral's name for it is "long non-coding RNA (ZMAR_LNC000278)". Lineage: Eukaryota; Viridiplantae; Streptophyta; Magnoliopsida; Alismatales; Zosteraceae. The record is from RNAcentral.
CCAUAUUAGGCUCUCCGGGAAGUUCUUUCUUACUGAUGGUGCGAUCUCAACGAGAUUCGUGUCACCACCAGCAUUCCUUCUGCUAUUGCUUUUAGGUGCUUUCGGAAAUACAUCUCUUACUGGUGAUGUGACUUCAACGAGAUCCCGUAUCACUACCAAUACUCCUUCUACGGUUCUGGUGCUUGAGGAAAUUUUAUUUUUACUGGUGAUGCGAUCUCAACAGAUCACGUAUCACCACCAGUACCUUUUCUGGUACCGUUUUCGAAGCCUGAGGGAAUUUGUUUUUCACCGG